This 119-nucleotide ribosomal RNA is filed under the name Crocodylus porosus (Australian saltwater crocodile). Lineage: Eukaryota; Metazoa; Chordata; Crocodylia; Crocodylidae. The record is from RNAcentral.
GAUUACGGCCAGACCGGACUGUUUGCACCUGAUCCCGUCCGAUCUCAGAAGCUAAACAGUCCUGGGCCCAACUAGUAUCUGGAUGGGAGACCGCCUGGGAAUCCUGGGUGUUGUAGGCC